Non-coding RNA from Eubacterium sp. An11, 81 nucleotides. The record is from Rfam. Lineage: Bacteria; Bacillati; Bacillota; Clostridia; Eubacteriales; Eubacteriaceae.
UGAUAGCGAUGAAGCGUGAGGUUGCUGCGCAUGGCGCAGGUUUUCCGUGGAGCGAAUGUCAAGUCAAGAUACUGGCGACAA